CCUACGGGAGGCAGCAGUGAGGAAUAUUGGUCAAUGGGCGCGAGCCUGAACCAGCCAAGUAGCGUGAAGGAUGACUGCCCUACGGGUUGUAAACUUCUUUUAUAAAGGAAUAAAGUGAGGCACGUGUGCCUUUUUGUAUGUACUUUAUGAAUAAGCACCGGCUAACUCCGUGCCAGCAGCCGCGGUAAUACGGAGGGUGCAAGCGUUACUCGGAUUUAUUGGGUUUAAAGGGUGCGUAGGCGGAUUUUUAAGUCAGCGGUAAAAUGUCCGGGCUCAACCCGGGCCGGCCGUUGAAACUGGGGAUC
This 305-nucleotide ribosomal RNA is filed under the name uncultured bacterium. RNAcentral describes it as "bacterial SSU rRNA". It matches the Rfam family "Bacterial small subunit ribosomal RNA", at positions 338 to 641 of the family's 1533-position model. The record is from RNAcentral.